GUGGCUGUUGGCCACCACCACAGCUGAGAGUACAUACGCUCUUGCUGUCAGAGAAAACGCUAUGUUAGCAGUCACUGACUUGCACGCAGGUUUCGAGCUGUGUGUUAACACUGGCUCUAUUUAGAGGCAGGUACUUCAGCUUAGUCAGCCACAUGGGGUUGCCACCACCCAGUGAAAAUGGCCCUAGACAGAACCAACAGACACGAGUAUGUCUGAAUGAAACAUCAAUUUCAGAAACAGAGUCUGGAUUUAGCCCGUAGUUUUCUGACCCCUGCUGCAAAAUGACAAAUACUGAGUGGUGAACCAGAGGUCUACUUUCUGUGUUCUCAGACCUGGCCAUUUCAUUCCUUGCUCACAAACAGGAGAGCAAGGUAAUGUACGUCUGCUGUUGUGGUCAUCUGCAAGGUGCUUUUCUACUGUUUGGCAAACCAUCUCUACUUCCAAGUCUAUAUAACUCUGCAAGCUACAUAUACACAUGUCUUUACAGAUUGGCUAUUCUUAGGAAGAGCUUGGAAAUUCCUAGGAUUGUGAUGGCAAAUUCAACUUGCAGUCAUAUAUACAAACAACAGAAAUGGAUUCUCAACAAGAAAAGACUAAAAGGGAGAAAGUUUAUAGUCCUUUUAACCCUUCCUCCCUUCCCUUGGCUCUACACGCUGCUCUCAACAAACGCCACUCCAUGCCUGGAGAGCAUUCACAACCUCACCCACCAGAGAGCCGGGUGGUGUCAGCACCAGCCAGUGUGAGCAUGACUGCACAUGGAAGCCAGGCAGGGGGCUAUGGAGAUCCCAGCUGUGACACUCUGGGCAAGUGACGACUUCUCUGUCCCUCGCUUUCCUCAGCUAUCAAGUGUGGUGAUAAUACACCUACUUCAUGUGGUUGAAACAAGUACAUGUGGGAAAAGCACUUGGCAUACAGCUCUGGACACAGACCUGUGGAAAGGGUAGCUACAGGGAACACCAUCUGAACAGCCUCUGCCUCGCCAUCAGCCCAUGACAGCCUUAACUACGGGAAGCCAUAUCAUUUAAAAACAACCAGAGCCAAGGUACCUGGUUUGUCUUAGUUACUCAAGCCUGAGUCCAUGGCUUGAGGUCACCAUGGGCAGCAGGGCAGCAUCCCAUUUCAACACAAGCAAAAGUAAACCAAAAUACUGGGAAAGAACACUCCACAAACAUCAAAUACACAAUACUAGUGGGCAGCACAAAGUGGCCUCAUUUCUCGAUUCUCGAUCUCUCUGUUCAUCUGUUGAAAAGGGUUGAAGCAAACAUGAGCCAAGGUCCUCCCCACUCUGAGGAAUGCUGAGACUGGAAAUUACCUCAGAUUCUAGGGUGUGGGCUCAACACGGUUUCAUUUAUUUGUAUAAUAUAGCACACUGCCCUAACUAUAUGUCUAGCCUAUUUGUAUUUGAAUAUUGUUGGUAUUAAGCAGUUACGCCUGGUCUUGCAGUUUUCUUCAUGACAAGUCUCAGUGUUGUAAGGCAAGAAGAUAGAGACGUGCUUCCCAACAUCAAAUCCAUUAAAUGUCUACUCCUUCAGCACCAGACGAAUCAGACUCUCGUAUCCAUCAGACAGGAUUUCUGACCUCACUCACAAGUCAUUCACGGUCAGCAUGGAAUGGCUGAGUUCACAUUCAAACGUGAAAAGCAAUGUGUAAACAGAAUUCCCUUGCAACAAUCAUCAGAACGAGACAGAUUCCACUCCUGAACUCAGUAAGAUAAUCCUUACGUUAACAGAAUGAGCCUGCAGUCAUAAUAGAAGCCUUUGUAAAAGCCACCACGGGAGAGGCUCGGGCACUGCCUAGUGAAAGUCUUCUCAUUAGUCAGAUAACCCUGAAAAGCAAGUUAGGCCUCUCCUCCUACACUGGAGUGAAGCAAGGGACAGAGGUGGCACCAUCUCCAGACUAAAUACAGCCCUUUAAUCCCAUGUGAUAAGUCAUGCUGAAAUAUUUAUAAUACUUCAGUAUAAUAAAAUCCAAGACCAACCUUUCAGUUUCCUGAAUAGUGGAUGGAAACUAAUGUUUUAAUGUCUUUUAACAAAAAACAACAACAACAAAAAAAAAUACAAAGCAAGUCUGAGUGAGUUCAAGUGGGAAACUGUUUAUGGUGGCAUGGAGCAUGGAGUCCUCUUCCCAGGUGGCUUUCUGCACUGGCCUCCCUCUUCUCUAACCCCAGCCCCCAGCAGUUAGGACAAGAAUGACCUUCUAUGAGCACCCAAGUGGGCUGUGCAGCACCCAGUGCGAUCAGUAAACGGCUCUCUGAGGGCAGCCCUGUCCUCCACUUAUGAAACACAUGCAAACCAGAGGUUUGACGUAAGCCAGUUCUGGGAGGUGACUGUUCUGUUUCAAGUGCUUGGCCUGUACCGGCAUGUGACAAACACUGUGGUAGCCCUGUGGUCUAGCCUUCACCCACUAUCUGCACUUCACAGACGAGGAAAAAACUUGCACAAGGCCCCACAGGUCAUUAUCAGGAAGUCCAACUCUCUACCCUCACCACCAACCCAAAGUACACAGCAUAGCCAUCAUCUGGGAAACCUCCUCCUUCAGCGUGUGGGAACUAACAGAGAGACCCACAACUGAUAGAAGUACAGAGAGAGAAAGACCAGCCUUGAACACUCAGUCCUAAAUGGAACAUCUCCAUAAAGCCCCUCCCCUCAGGGCUUUACCAGAAGAGAAGGCAGAGACUGUGCGAGUGGGAAGAGAGGACACCGAAAAGGCAGUGCUUUCCAGAUACAACCGGUCUAAUACACAGAUGAACUCUCAGAGACCCAGGCAGCAGGCACAGGGUCUAAUACACAGAUGAACUCUCAGAGACCCAGGCAGCAGGCACAAGGCUUGCACAGUCGAAGCCAGACGGGGUCCUAGGGCUGAGAGGGAAAGUAGAUACCAGCUCCCAUCCAUAACCCAGACGGUUUUUCUAAUGACGUCUCACUGGUCAUACCAACCACCCUUUAGCAAGAGCCUUCUGUAAGCAGUGAAAGGCCAACACAAAACAAACUCACUGGUAUUUUAACAGAUUUGGGAGUUUGGAAAAGGGGGUGGGUAUUUGUUUUGUUUUGUUUUUGUCUCACAAUCCUUUGUCUGGGCAUUUUGUACCUCACCUGUCUUGAGUCUCUAUUAUGAUUUCUGAUACAGUUUUUAUGGGUUUUGUCCCUAUGAACAUAAUGUGUUUCUCCUGCCUUUGGUUUCCUUUUCUGCUUGUCUGUUUUGUUGUAUUCUGGUUUAUUUGUCUGUUUAUAUUCUAGAGAGAAAGAAGGUAUGGAAUUUGACUGCUGGGGUGGUGAGGAGGAUCUGAGAGGUUAGGGAGAGUAAUUUACUGUAUGAAAAAUAUUUUCAAUUUUUUUUCAAAAUACAGAGCAGAUAACUCUACAAAUGAAUCCUAUAGUGAAAUUUUAUAUUCAACGUAAGUUCAUAACAAUUGCAUGGCUUCUCAGAAUAGGCAAUUAAAACUUUGUAGCAUAUGCAAAUGAAUCAGACAUGACCAAGUAUCAAAAGAAGCUAUCAAUUCCCACCUAAGGUUCAAACUCAUAAAUGUCUCCAGUAGCAAUUAUCUUAUCACACCCAAACAGUCCUCUGUUGGACCUGACAUUAACACAGGCCAACAGCAAGAGUUGUAAAGAACGCAAAGGUGAAAUGUCAGGUGUGCAAGAGGAUGCAGGCGUGAGCACAGAGGAGCCGGUGUGCAUCUGUGGGGGACCAGAGACUUUGUCAGAAAGAAGAAAAGAAGAAAAAAACCCAAAAGUAUAGGUAAAGGCCUUGACAAGGACACCCCCCCCCAACAAACACACACAUAUACACACAUGUAUACACACAUGGGGGGGAUGAAGAACAGCAUUGACCACACUAACUUCCAAUCUUAAAGCAGGGGAGGCUUUGAAAUCCUAGACCCCAACACAACAAGAGGUAACAGCCUUCACUUUUCCACAGCCUUGAGUCAAAAAGUAAAGUCUAGCACAGCACAGAACAGCCCUGUAUCUGAAAUGACUGGCAUGGAUCACCGUGGGAGUUCCCAGGAAGGCGAUGAGGAGGCUGUGUCUUCAGGGUACAGACUGUGGGCCUCGUGGCCUGCAUCACUGUUACCUCACUAGGAGAUCUGAGGUCUUGACAUCUGCCACACCACUGUCUAUUCUUCUGGAGACAGCCCACAUAGCUUGGUCAGCCGAGCACAGGCUGGAAGAGCCCCUCUCCUAGGAGUCCAGGACAGCACUCUACACUGCUCCUCUUAGCAGGCAUGCUCCCUGUGCUCAUCCACAGUUCUCGUCCACUUCACAGAGCACAGCUCCAUGACCGCCUGUACUGUGCAAGCAGGAAAGAGCAAAGGCAAAGCCCUGGACUCUGUGAGCAAGGAUGUGGGAACCUAACUCUACAAAGGGAAAGGAGCGCCGGUCAUGUGUAACUCAGCCUCAUGUGUGCUUCAAACCUGCUUUCUCCCUUUGCCAAAUCCAGUCUUCUCUGAACUGUCUACGAAAGCCACCCUGAGAGCAGAAAUUUGCAAAGCCCACCCGUUUGGGAAGCACACCCCACACACGCCUAAUAGUGUGCAUAUGUGCUCUCUCAGGACAGUCUGGUACUAUAAUACUCGUCAGCGUAUGCAGAGGACACACACACACACGUGCACACACGUGCACUCAUCUAUAUUUUUCUCCAAAUAAAAUUCCCUUUCCAGACAGUAUUAUCUUGUGUAUUUGCACAGUCACAGGCAUACAGCAGCCCCAGCUGCAGGACUGACAAUAAAUGAUUAUAUUGUUAAAGUGUUAGAUCAGCACGGAAGCAUUGAUAAAUACACUCUGAGAUUUUUCACCAGAUUACUCUUUUACUAUUGAUGUCAAUACUGAGCCUGAGACUCCAGAGACUGUUUUCUUGAGGAAGCCCAGCGGACUGGGCUAUAAUGACAACAGGGCCAGUACAGAGCAGCCAGACUCAGACUCCCAUCUAGCUGUUCCAUUUCCUGUCUCUCGGUUUCUUACCUAGUGCAUGAGAUGUCUUUGGCAAGUACACCAAAGGGUGAUGGGGAAAAUAUGGCAUGCCAAGUUAUCAGGGAGAGAGAGAACUUGCCAAAGAUUAAAUUUUGAUAGCUUCUUUCACCAGCUUAUUUCUGACCCCUAACCUUCUCUCUCUCUCUCUCUCUCUCUCUCUCUCUCUCUCUCUCUCUCUCUCUCACACACACACACACACACACACACACACACACACACACACACACCCCUACCUACAGGAGAAAGCUGUGUAAGCGCCACACUCUACUACCUGCCUUUUUCCCAGCAGAACUGCAAGCUUCACCCUCAUGCAGGCCCUACCCAGGGAGCAGAGGGCUCAGACUCCCUCCUACAGGAAGUGGUUCUGCAGAAGCCCCUCCUCCCUGGCCUCCUGUGCCCCUCUAACUCCAAGCCACCCAAAAAGCAACCUUCUAUUGUGGUGUGCCAGGACCCAACUUACUUUAGCCCCUCUCCAAAAGUAAAUAAUAUUUUUACUUUAGAAAAGAAGCAAGUUUCUUAGUCUCACUUACUUUGUAUUUGACAUUGUACAGACAUUUUAAUGUCCAUGAGCUAAUGAAUAUUUCAGAUCAUACAGAGAUAUACCUUAAAAUUAAUUUUAGCCUUAUCCUAAACUGAAAACAGCUUAAGUUGAAAAUGCGUCUAACAAAAACAAAAGAAAAAGGCAUACAGUGGGAGGGAUGUUGUUGGAAAAAGAGAGGGUUGGCUGGCUGGUAGGGGAGUAAGAUGGUAGGAGGGGGUUGGGGAUUUAGCUCAGUGGUAGAGCGCUUGCCUAGCAAGCGCAAGGCCCUGGGUUCGGUUCCCAGCUCUGAAAAAAAAAAAAAAGAAAGAAAAGAAAAAAAGAAGAUGGGUGGGAGGUAUGUGGGUUGAUUGCAUUAUAUAAAUUAUAUAAAUAUGCAACCACCAAGGAACAAAUUUAAUUUUAAAAUGAGCUUAAACAAUAGGGGUGAGUUCAGUAGUGGGGUACUGCCUAAUAUGCACAAGGCAUUCAAUUCCCAGUACAAAAAGAAAGAGAAGAAAAUGAAGAGAAAAUGUGUUUACUACCCUGACUAAUGAGUACUCUGCCUUCUCAGCCAGCACACUACAGGGUCCACUGUGUCCUUCCAGAACUCACUGCCAUGGCUGGCAGUGAUCACAUGAGCGCAUCCUAAGAAAAGACCCAGCAACCAGCAACAGCCUCUACCAAAAAUAAGCAUUGUUUGUUUGCUUGUUUGUUUGUUGAGACGGUGUCGCACUAAGUUAUGCAGACUAGCGGAGGAAUCCUUAAGCUGAGCUUCCGGAAUUAGCUGCAACUGUACGCGCAGUCCAAUCACCAAUCACAGCUCCAGAGGCUUCUACUAAAUGUGUGUCAAUUGACACAAUUGUAAAGCUAGGAAACCGUAAAUUAAUCCAGAAGUUUAGGACUCAUUAACAAAUUUCUGGGCUCCUAUUAGCUGUCUAAGUAAGGCAGCUAUUAGUCUGUCUGCUGCCUGUAUAUAAAUGGGAACACGGUUCUCUCUAGACAGGAAACUCCUACAGGCAAACCUCCUAAUGCCCACCUUGGCAGGCGUCCUACCCUGAUUGCUCUGCCUGCAUCAGAAAAACAGCAUGAAGUCUACUCUUCAGAAAGCUCAAAUUCUAAGAGAGUGAGGCCAACAUACUCAAGUUCCACACUUUCUCCAUGACUCUGGGAGAGCACACUCCCAAAAGCUACAGUUAAUGUGCUCCGUCUAAAUCCCCACCUCAUUAAAGUCUCCACAACACUCAGCAGCUCCUAUGUGAGCCUAGGGAGUUACCUGUGCCAGCCCAGAGUUCUGGUCAUUUGUAGGCAGGAAACAAGCACUGAUCUCAAGGAGCCCGAGAAACUGAUCAUCUGUGCAAAUGUCACCUUAGGAUGACUGGCCAAACGUGUCCCUCUGAACAACAUUUACAGUGAACCUGUUUGAUUUUUUAAGACAUCUCCAACCUCGAAGGCAUGUGCCUAAAGUAUCUUUUCCUAUUACAACAGCGCUGAAGACUCCCUGUCACCCAACAAUAUCACAGCUGAAAGCAUCAUUCCUACUGGGAGGACAGUGCCACUGAGUUGAGAACCUGGUGCAUAGAGGCAAAAGCAGAUACUACAGAGCAUGUAAUAAUAACACUACAAACAAGGUCACUGUUUACACAUACACACACACACACACACACACACACACACACACACACACACACACACACACACUCUGUCUCUCUCCCUGCUGUAGAGAGGCCUCAGGCAGGGCCUCAGGAGAGAUCCUGAAGAAGGCACUGCCAUCACAAGAGGUGACAGCUCCAAGAAAGCCAGCUCUCAGCAAAGAUCCCUGAAGCCCUCUAUGGGGACAAGGUAGAGACGUAGAA
Molecule: non-coding RNA, 7340 nt
Organism: Rattus norvegicus (Norway rat)
Lineage: Eukaryota; Metazoa; Chordata; Mammalia; Rodentia; Muridae
Source: RefSeq, a predicted model, not a curated record